UUCCAGCUCCAAUAGCGUAUAUUAAAGUUGUUGCAGUUAAAAAGCUCGUAGUUGAAUUUCGGGGUUAGUAGGUUGGUCAUGCCUCUGGUAUGUACUGAUCUCACUGAUUCCUCCUUCCUUAUGAACCGUAAUGCCAUUAAUUUGGUGUUGCGGGGAAUUUGGACUGUUACUUUGAAAAAAUUAGAGUGUUUAAAGCAAGCUAACGCUUGAAUACAUUAGCAUGGAAUAAUGAAAUAGGACGUUCGAUCUUAUUUUGUUGGUUUCUAGGAUUGACGUAAUGAUUAAUAGGGAUAGUUGGGGGCAUUAGUAUUCAAUUGUCAGAGGUGAAAUUCUUGGAUUUAUUGAAGACUAACUACUGCGAAAGCAUUUGCCAAGGAUGUUUUCAUUAAUCAAGAACGAAAGUUAGGGGAUCGAAGACGAUCAGAUACCGUCGUAGUCUUAACCAUAAACUAUGCCGACUAGGGAUCGG
RNAcentral lists this ribosomal RNA (469 nucleotides) under uncultured Glomus. RNAcentral's name for it is "SSU rRNA". It matches the Rfam family "Eukaryotic small subunit ribosomal RNA", at positions 583 to 1056 of the family's 1831-position model. The record is from RNAcentral. Lineage: Eukaryota; Fungi; Glomeromycota; Glomeromycetes; Glomerales; Glomeraceae.